RNAcentral lists this ribosomal RNA (1521 nucleotides) under Salmonella enterica. RNAcentral describes it as "partial 23S ribosomal RNA". It matches the Rfam family "Bacterial large subunit ribosomal RNA", at positions 68 to 1495 of the family's 2925-position model. Lineage: Bacteria; Pseudomonadati; Pseudomonadota; Gammaproteobacteria; Enterobacterales; Enterobacteriaceae. RNAcentral also lists the same sequence under 1 other name. The record is from RNAcentral.
GCGAUAAGCGCCGGUAAGGUGAUAUGAACCGUUAUAACCGGCGAUACCCGAAUGGGGAAACCCAGUGUGACUCGUCACACUAUCAUUAACUGAAUCCAUAGGUUAAUGAGGCGAACCGGGGGAACUGAAACAUCUAAGUACCCCGAGGAAAAGAAAUCAACCGAGAUUCCCCCAGUAGCGGCGAGCGAACGGGGAGGAGCCCAGAGCCUGAAUCAGCAUGUGUGUUAGUGGAAGCGUCUGGAAAGGCGCGCGAUACAGGGUGACAGCCCCGUACACAAAAGCGCAUGUGCUGUGAGCUCGAUGAGUAGGGCGGGACACGUGGUAUCCUGUCUGAAUAUGGGGGGACCAUCCUCCAAGGCUAAAUACUCCUGACUGACCGAUAGUGAACCAGUACCGUGAGGGAAAGGCGAAAAGAACCCCGGCGAGGGGAGUGAAAAAGAACCUGAAACCGUGUACGUACAAGCAGUGGGAGCCCCACCACCAAAGCAUUUGCUGUACCGCGUUGACGGAGCGAAGCGACGUCAAACCGAUAAAACAGCAGUGUAAAGUGAGCCGCAGGGCGCUUUGCGCGACAGCGCAAAGGCAGGCGGUUUCGCGUAGCGAAAGCGAAUGCUUUGGGGUGGGGUGACUGCGUACCUUUUGUAUAAUGGGUCAGCGACUUAUAUUCUGUAGCAAGGUUAACCGAAUAGGGGAGCCGGAGGGAAACCGAGUCUUAAUUGGGCGUUAAGUUGCAGGGUAUAGACCCGAAACCCGGUGAUCUAGCCAUGGGCAGGUUGAAGGUUGGGUAACACUAACUGGAGGACCGAACCGACUAAUGUUGAAAAAUUAGCGGAUGACCUGUGGCUGGGGGUGAAAGGCCAAUCAAACCGGGAGAUAGCUGGUUCUCCCCGAAAGCUAUUUAGGUAGCGCCUCGUGAAUUCAUCUCCGGGGGUAGAGCACUGUUUCGGCUAGGGGGCCAUCCCGGCUUACCAACCCGAUGCAAACUGCGAAUACCGGAGAAUGUUAUCACGGGAGACACACGGCGGGUGCUAACGUCCGUCGUGAAGAGGGAAACAACCCAGACCGCCAGCUAAGGUCCCAAAGUCAUGGUUAAGUGGGAAACGAUGUGGGAAGGCCCAGACAGCCAGGAUGUUGGCUUAGAAGCAGCCAUCAUUUAAAGAAAGCGUAAUAGCUCACUGGUCGAGUCGGCCUGCGCGGAAGAUGUAACGGGGCUAAACCAUGCACCGAAGCUGCGGCAGCGACACUGUGUGUUGUUGGGUAGGGGAGCGUUCUGUAAGCCUGUGAAGGUGUGUCGUGAGGCAUGCUGGAGGUAUCAGAAGUGCGAAUGCUGACAUAAGUAACGAUAAAGCGGGUGAAAAGCCCGCUCGCCGGAAGACCAAGGGUUCCUGUCCAACGUUAAUCGGGGCAGGGUGAGUCGACCCCUAAGGCGAGGCCGAAAGGCGUAGUCGAUGGGAAACGGGUUAAUAUUCCCGUACUUGGUGUUACUGCGAAGGGGGGACGGAGAAGGCUAUGUUGGCCGGG